RNAcentral lists this ribosomal RNA (460 nucleotides) under uncultured bacterium. Its description in RNAcentral is "partial 16S ribosomal RNA". It matches the Rfam family "Bacterial small subunit ribosomal RNA", at positions 338 to 795 of the family's 1533-position model. The record is from RNAcentral.
GCUACGGGCGGCAGCAGUGAGGAAUAUUGGUCAAUGGCCGCAGGGCUGAACCAGCCAAGUCGCGUGAGGGAUGACGGUCCUAUGGAUUGUAAACCUCUUUUGUCAGGGAGCAAAGGGCGCCACGUGUGGCGUUUUGCGAGUACCUGAAGAAAAAGCAUCGGCUAACUCCGUGCCAGCAGCCGCGGUAAUACGGAGGAUGCGAGCGUUAAUCGGAAUUACUGGGCGUAAAGCGCUCGUAGGCGGUAUGUCAAGUCAAGGGUGAAAUCCCCGCGCUCAACGUGGGAACUGCCUUUGAAACUGGCAAACUGGAGUGUGUGAGAGGAUAGUGGAAGUCCAGGUGUAGGAGUGAAAUCCGUAGAUAUCUGGAGGAACAUCAGUGGCGAAGGCGACUAUCUGGCACAUAACUGACGCUGAGGAGCGAAAGCGUGGGUAGCAAACAGGAUUAGAUACCCGGGUAGUC